This 497-nucleotide ribosomal RNA is filed under the name uncultured bacterium. RNAcentral's name for it is "partial 16S ribosomal RNA". It matches the Rfam family "Bacterial small subunit ribosomal RNA", at positions 28 to 507 of the family's 1533-position model. The record is from RNAcentral.
GAUGAACGCUGGCGGCGUGCCUAAUACAUGCAAGUCGAGCGAACAGACGAGGAUCUUGCUCCUCUGACGUUAGCGGCGGACGGGAGAGUAACACGUGGAUAACCUACCUAUAAGACUGGGAUAACUUCGGGAAACCGGAGCUAAUACCGGAUAAUAUAUUGAACCGCAUGGUUCAAUAGUGAAAGACGGUUUUGCUGUCACUUAUGGAUGGAUCCGCGCCGCAUUAGCUAGUUGGUAAGGUAACGGCUUACCAAGGCAACGAUGCGUAGCCGACCUGAGAGGGUGAUCGGCCACACUGGAACUGAGACACGGUCCAGACUCCUACGGGAGGCAGCAGUAGGGAAUCUUCCGCGAUGGGCGAAAGCCUGACGGAGCAACGCCGCGUGAGUGAUGAAGGUCUUCGGAUCGUAAAGCUCUGUUAUUAGGGAAGAACAAAUGUGUAAGUAACUAUGCACGUCUUGACGGUACCUAAUCAGAAAGCCACGGCUAACUACGUG